UUGAAAGAUUUGAUGACUUCAUAUUGCAUACUUGGAUGAUUUGGAGACUUCAGCUUGUAUACUUGGAGUAUUUUAGAACUUCAAUU
RNAcentral lists this microRNA precursor (86 nucleotides) under Solanum lycopersicum (tomato). RNAcentral's name for it is "MIR8024 microRNA precursor family". It matches the Rfam family "MIR8024 microRNA precursor family". Lineage: Eukaryota; Viridiplantae; Streptophyta; Magnoliopsida; Solanales; Solanaceae. The record is from Rfam by way of RNAcentral.